RNAcentral lists this small nuclear RNA (296 nucleotides) under Salvator merianae (Argentine black and white tegu). Its description in RNAcentral is "7SK RNA (ENSSMRG00000012293.1)". It matches the Rfam family "7SK RNA". From Rfam's summary of the family: 7SK was discovered as an abundant small nuclear RNA in the mid-70s but a possible function has only recently been suggested. Lineage: Eukaryota; Metazoa; Chordata; Lepidosauria; Squamata; Teiidae. The record is from Rfam by way of RNAcentral.
CAGUGUGAGGGCACUCUGGCUGUGACCUCUGUCACCCUUUUGAUUGUUAGGGUUGAUCUGGCUGAUUUAGUUGGCUGGGUGCCACCUCCUCCCUCCCUCCCUAUUCCACAUGUGUCUCCUGAAGAUGUGUGAUCUGUGGAAAAGGAUGAGCAGUUACUUAUUUCAUUUCAUUUUAUUAGUUUGUUGUCAUCACAGACCCAUAUUUAAAAGGAAAAUGAGGACGAAAAAAACCUGCUGAAACCCAGGGAGAAAGUCCUAUAUACGUUAUCCAAAAAGGGUGCUAUUGGGCUGUAUGU